ACGCUAGCUACAGGCUUAACACAUGCAAGUCGAGGGGAAACGGCAUUGAGUGCUUGCACUCUUUGGACGUCGACCGGCGCACGGGUGAGUAACGCGUAUCCAACCUUCCCAUUACUGUGGGAUAACUUGCCGAAAGGCAGACUAAUAUCGCAUAGUCUUCGAUGACGGCAUCAGAUUUGAAGUAAAGAUUUAUCGGUAAUGGAUGGGGAUGCGUCUGAUUAGCUUGUUGGCGGGGUAACGGCCCACCAAGGCGACGAUCAGUAGGGGUUCUGAGAGGAAGGUCCCCCACAUUGGAACUGAGACACGGUCCAAACUCCUACGGUAGGCAGCAGUGAGGAAUAUUGGUCAAUGGACGGAAGUCUGAACCAGCCAAGUAGCGUGCAGGAUGACGGCCCUAUGGGUUGUAAACUGCUUUUGUAUGGGGAUAAAGUUAGGGACGUGUCCCUAUUUGCAGGUACCAUACGAAUAAGGACCGGCUAAUUCCGUGCCAGCAGCCGCGGUAAUACGGAAGGUCCAGGCGUUAUCCGGAUUUAUUGGGUUUAAAGGGAGCGUAGGCUGGAGAUUAAGUGUGUUGUGAAAUGUAGACGCUCAACGUCUGAAUUGCAGCGCAUACUGGUUUCCUUGAGUACGCACAACGUUGGCGGAAUUCGUCGUGUAGCGGUGAAAUGCUUAGAUAUGACGAAGAACUCCGAUUGCGAAGGCAGCUGACGGGAGCGCAACUGACGCUUAAGCUCGAAGGUGCGGGUAUCAAACAGGAUUAGAUACCCUGGUAGUCCGCACAGUAAACGAUGGAUGCCCGCUGUUGGUACCUGGUAUCAGCGGCUAAGCGAAAGCAUUAAGCAUCCCACCUGGGGAGUACGCCGGCAACGGUGAAACUCAAAGGAAUUGACGGGGGCCCGCACAA
This 904-nucleotide ribosomal RNA is filed under the name uncultured bacterium. RNAcentral describes it as "bacterial SSU rRNA". It matches the Rfam family "Bacterial small subunit ribosomal RNA", at positions 33 to 928 of the family's 1533-position model. The record is from RNAcentral.